This is a transfer RNA of 83 nucleotides. It matches the Rfam family "tRNA". From Rfam's summary of the family: Transfer RNA (tRNA) molecules are approximately 80 nucleotides in length. Their secondary structure includes four short double-helical elements and three loops (D, anti-codon, and T loops).
GCCCGGAUGGUGGAAUGCAGACACGACGAGCUUAAACCUCGUUGGCCUUGAGGGCCGUGCCGGUUCGAGUCCGGCUCCGGGCA